UACGUAGGGUGCAAGCGUUGCUCGGAAUCAUUGGGCGUAAAGCGCACGUAGGCGGUCUGACAAGUCGGGUGUGAAAGCCCUGGGCUCAACCCAGGAAGUGCACUCGAAACUGCCAGGCUUGAAUAUGGAAGAGGGUCGCGGAAUUCCAGGUGUAGCGGUGAAAUGCGUAGAUAUCUGGAGGAACACCGGUGGCGAAGGCGGCAUCCUGGACCGGCAUUGACGCUGAGGCGCGAAAGCCAGGGGAGCAAACAGG
RNAcentral lists this ribosomal RNA (253 nucleotides) under uncultured bacterium. RNAcentral describes it as "partial 16S ribosomal RNA". It matches the Rfam family "Bacterial small subunit ribosomal RNA", at positions 524 to 776 of the family's 1533-position model. The record is from RNAcentral.